UACGAAGGGGGCUAGCGUUGCUCGGAAUUACUGGGCGUAAAGCGUGCGCAGGCGGUUUUAUAAGCCAGAUGUGAAAGCCCCGGGCUCAACCUGGGAAUGGCAUUUGGGACUGUAAGGCUGGAGUAUGGCAGAGGAGACUAGAAUUCCUGGUGUAGCAGUGAAAUGCGUAGAUAUCAGGAGGAACACCGGUGGCGAAGGCGGGUCUCUGGGCCGAUACUGACGCUGAGGAGCGAAAGCGUGGGGAGCGAACAGG
Molecule: ribosomal RNA, 253 nt
Filed under: uncultured bacterium
Lineage: Bacteria
Description: partial 16S ribosomal RNA
Rfam family: Bacterial small subunit ribosomal RNA
Source: RNAcentral